GCAGCCUCCCCAUACCCAUAUGUUCCAGUAAAUCCUCCGAAAUUAAAAUUUGUAAUAUUUCAAUCUACAAGAAUGAGAUUUAAGCCUUGUUUGGGUAAACAAAUUUGGAUAAGCUUAAUAAGCCAUUAUCGAAAUAAGUUAAAAACAACUUAUGAACAUGUCAUAACUCAUAAGUUCCCCCAAAUAGUUUCGUAAGUGCUUAUGCCGGUAGAUAAGCUCAAAUAAGCCAAUCCAAACAAGCCCUUAUAGAUAGCAUGUUUCUAUUCUGCAUCAUCUAACUUAUCAACUAACAACCAAAACCCAACACACCAAUCGAUGCCUACUUGCUUGCUGAUGUAUAACUUCAGAAUAUGAUAAAUGUACAGAAAUCAAAUUCUACAGUCUAUACUAUUUCAUUCAGUUCAUAAACCAAAUGAAGAUUUAUGCAACACAUACGAGAUAAAAGGGGUAAACUGAA
RNAcentral lists this long non-coding RNA (457 nucleotides) under Medicago truncatula (barrel medic). Its description in RNAcentral is "lncRNA gene24126". The record is from RNAcentral. Lineage: Eukaryota; Viridiplantae; Streptophyta; Magnoliopsida; Fabales; Fabaceae.